UUUAUCGGAGAGUUUGAUCCUGGCUCAGGACGAACGCUGGCGGCGUGCCUAAUACAUGCAAGUCGAGCGGGCAGAUG
This 77-nucleotide ribosomal RNA is filed under the name Bacillus subtilis. RNAcentral's name for it is "partial 16S ribosomal RNA". It matches the Rfam family "Bacterial small subunit ribosomal RNA", at positions 1 to 76 of the family's 1533-position model. The record is from RNAcentral. Lineage: Bacteria; Bacillati; Bacillota; Bacilli; Caryophanales; Bacillaceae.